RNAcentral lists this ribosomal RNA (468 nucleotides) under uncultured bacterium. RNAcentral's name for it is "partial 16S ribosomal RNA". It matches the Rfam family "Bacterial small subunit ribosomal RNA", at positions 28 to 507 of the family's 1533-position model. The record is from RNAcentral.
GACGACCGCUAGCUGCGUUCCUAACACAUGCAAGUCGAACGUAAAUGCCCUUCUUUUGUGGGUUGCUCUAGUUGCUAUCGGGUGAUUAACCCUUGAUUAACCUGCCCUUGACUUUUUUAUAACUUCAGGUAACUUGGUCUACUACCGUAUAGGUUCUCCUGCUGCAUGGUUUGGGUUGUAAAGUUUCGGCGGUUGGGGCUGGACUCGCCGCUUAUCAGGUUUUUGGUGGGGUAGUGGCUUACCAAGGCUUUGACGGGUAGCCGGCCUGAUUGGGUGACCGGCAACAGUAGGACUGAGAUACGGCAAAGAAUGCUACGGGAGGAAGCAGGGGGGAAUAGUGCACAAGGGGCGGAAGCCUGAUGCAGAAACGCCGCGUGCGGGAGGAAGGCCUUAGGGUUGUAAAACGAUUUCGCCUGUGACGAAGAGUGAGUGACGGUAAUGGGUAAAGAAGAACCGGCUAACUACGUG